RNAcentral lists this ribosomal RNA (549 nucleotides) under uncultured bacterium. RNAcentral describes it as "partial 16S ribosomal RNA". It matches the Rfam family "Bacterial small subunit ribosomal RNA", at positions 355 to 895 of the family's 1533-position model. The record is from RNAcentral.
UGGGGAAUAUUGCACAAUGGGCGCAAGCCUGAUGCAGCCAUGCCGCGUGUGUGAAGAAGGCCUUCGGGUUGUAAAGCACUUUCAGCGAGGAGGAAGGUGGUGAGCUUAAUACGCUCAUCAAUUGACGUUACUCGCAGAAGAAGCACCGGCUAACUCCGUGCCAGCAGCCGCGGUAAUACGGAGGUGCAAGCGUUAAUCGGAAUUACUGGGCGUAAAGCGCACGCAGGCGGUUUGUUAAGUCAGAUGUGAAAUCCCCGGGCUCAACCUGGGAACUGCAUUUGAAACUGGCAAGCUAGAGUCUCGUAGAGGGGGGUAGAAUUCCAGGUGUAGCGGUGAAAUGCGUAGAGAUCUGGAGGAAUACCGGUGGCGAAGGCGGCCCCCUGGACGAAGACUGACGCUCAGGUGCGAAAAGCGUGGGGCAGCAAACAGGAUUAGAUACCCUGGUAGUCCACGCUGUAAACGAUGUCGAUUUGGAGGUUGUGCCCUUGAGGCGUGGCUUCCGGAGCUAACGCGUUAAAUCGACCGCCUGGGGAGUACGGCCGCAAGGUU